CCUACGGGAGGCUGCAGUGGGGAAUAUUGGGCAAUGGAGGCAACUCUGACCCAGCAACGCCGCGUGAAUGAUGAAGGUCUUCGGAUUGUAAAGUUCUGUGAUGGGGGAUGAACACAAUGACGGUACCCCAAUAGCAAGCCACGGCUAACUACGUGCCAGCAGCCGCGGUAAUACGUAGGUGGCAAGCGUUAUCCGGAAUGACUGGGCGUAAAGGGUGCGUAGGUGGUUUAGUAAGUUGGCGGUGUAAUUCCGGGGCUCAACCUCGGCGCUACCGCCAAAACUAUUAGACUAGAGUGCAGGAGGGGUAAGUGGAAUUCCUAGUGUAGCGGUGGAAUGCGUAGAUAUCACGCAGAACCCCGAUUGCGAAGGCAGCCUGCCAAGCCAUGACUGACGCUGAUGCACGAAAGCGUGGGGAUCAAACAGGAUUAGAUACCCUAGUAGUC
Molecule: ribosomal RNA, 443 nt
Filed under: uncultured bacterium
Lineage: Bacteria
Description: partial 16S ribosomal RNA
Rfam family: Bacterial small subunit ribosomal RNA
Source: RNAcentral